GACAAGAAGUCGGUCGACCGAUUAUACUGUUAACAAACUUCCAGGAGAUGAGGUCAGAUCUCCAGACCAGUUCUGCAGACUUCGGUAUCCAGAGCACAACAUGACAGCAAAGAACAUACCUGACCUUGCUGAAGGAGUAACGCUGAAAGACUGCAUAAUUGUGUGCCAGCUUCCACCCGAGGACCAAAAACUUUUCCUCUACGAUUCCCCUGAUGGUUUAACCUGCGAAGCAAGCACAGGCAAGGUUUGCGCGAACAAAGAAUGCAAACAUUACAGUCAACCCUAGACUGCACUCUUCGUAAAGACAUGACUCCAACGCAGUGAUGCAUGGUACGAUCAUUCAAGUCACGCCAACUGUUAACUACAGGCAACAAGCAUUACAAUCAUCACUGACAAAAGAGUUCUUCAUUUAGCGUCACUCAAUAAA
Ornithodoros turicata is the source of this 427-nucleotide long non-coding RNA. RefSeq lists it as uncharacterized. The transcript is spliced from 3 exons. The record is from RefSeq and is a predicted model, not a curated record. NCBI's taxonomy places the organism in Eukaryota, Metazoa, Arthropoda, Arachnida, Ixodida, Argasidae.